RNAcentral lists this long non-coding RNA (11636 nucleotides) under Triticum aestivum (bread wheat). RNAcentral describes it as "long non-coding RNA (TAES_LNC004997)". Lineage: Eukaryota; Viridiplantae; Streptophyta; Magnoliopsida; Poales; Poaceae. The record is from RNAcentral.
GGCAUCACGUUGGACAAGGGGUUCAACCUGCCCAUGGAUCUCACGUGCAGCUCCGGCGACGCGCUCCGGUGCCGGGAGGACGGGUGCCACGACGCGUUCCCGUACGUGAAGUACAACGACCACUCAUGCACCGCCGCCGGCAGCCGGCUCCAGAUCGUCUUCUGCCCAUGAUGAGCUAGCUAGCGGCAGAACGUAAACAUAUAACCUACACAUAUACUACGUGUAGUAGUACAUACUUAGACGUGUCAUGUAUUCUCAGCGGUACGUACGUACACGUAUGAACGCACGUGCCAGUUUCCAAGAAAAUUGCCAUGUGUGAUGUGCCUUUGAUAUAUUGUUCUUUUUUAUCGAAUGCCUUUGAUAUAUUGUUCUUUUUUAUCGAAUGCCUUUGAUAUAUUCUUUACGGGAAUUUACACACAAAAGAACGUGAAUUUAAACAAGAUAGCCUACAAAUAUGUAUGUUUUUCCACACACAAAAAAUAUAUGGAUGUUCUAACAUUGGGACUCAGCUUGAUUUUUUUUUUCGAGGGGUGGGACUCAGGUUGAUGGUCAGGGUCUCAAAUGGCAUGGCCAUGAUUUUUAGAGAGGUUGAGCCAGGAUAUGUGAUUGGGGCAUGAUACCAGCUUUUUUUUCCAACCGGGCUCACAAACCCUUUCCAUUAAUUUUGCAAUCAACGGAAAUACAUCAGUCUGAUUUCAAGUUCUGUAUCGAGCAUCCACUUGCUAAAGAUAACUAGACUGAAAGAUAGAACUAACCGCAAGCAAAAUGAGACUGAAAGAGGAGAGCAGGUUGGUGCAUCAUCAGGAAACCCAUCGCCGGACAAUCCUGGAACGGACCAUCCGCCGUGGCGCGAAAACCUGAUGACACUUACAAGCAACUGCCCAACGAAAAUACCCAAGGUUCCCAGGAUGAAACUGCCAGUAAGCCUCUACGACUAGGCGAACCACAACCAGGAAGCACAAUUGCCAGCUGGCAUCAAAACCCAGUGGACAACAGAACGCAAAAGGAAAGAUCCAAGCGCCGAUUUCAUCUAACCAAUCUGGAUCCCAUCUCUGUCUCCCAAGAGAAGUCUGCCACGAGGGAAGGACCUGUCCGCCAGCGCAGCAGCCGCGUGAGCUAACCUCUUCACUCCAGCUUGGAACUUCACCUUCUCAUCCUCCUUAAGCAGACCUCACUAGUAGAAAAAGGGUCAAACGUGAAGCACAUUAGUGCCGGUUUGUAUUUGAGCCGGUACUAAUGGUACCAUUAGUGCCGGUUCGAACGGAUUUGCAUUAAUGCCGGUUCGUGUUGAACCUUUAGUACCGGUUCGUGGCACGAACCGGUACUAAAGGGGUGGUGGCAGGCUGGCGUCAGGCCGGGGCCCCACGAUCACCUUUAGUACCGGUUCGUGGUACGAACCGGUACUAAAGGUCUAACCUUUAGUACCGGUUCAUGCCAUGAACCGGCACUAAAGGGGUCUGACCUAUAGUACCGGUUGGAGACACAAACCGGCAUUAUAGGGCAAUUUUCAAACUUGAAAAAAUCAUAACUAAAUCAUCGUAAUUCAGAAAAAUACAUAUAAUAUAUCAAAAUAUGCAGACUUUUAAGGAAGAAAUUAGGAAGGCUAUACAGGGAAAAUGCGUGAAGGUUCUCGCAGAGUGUGUUCCUUUAAUCUCACCAACCAGUUAGCUUAGGAUGUGCGAAUCAACAUGUGGUUGGACGGUUAGAGGGACAGUAGUAUCCACAGCCCAUCAGGGUUUAAGUCCUGGUGCUCACAUUAUUUCUGGAUUUAUUUUAGGAUUUCUGGCGUUGUGCUUUCAGCAGGAGGAGACGUUCCUGUCGACAACGAGGCGCCUACGGUGACUUUGUAAAUGUCAAGAUGAUAUACUGGCUAGGUCUCUCGUAGGUGCUCAUAGGGGUAGGAAUGUGCAUGUGUGCAUUCAUAGGGGUGAGCGUAUGUGCGUAUGUUUGAGCACUUGCGUCUAUACUAUGCUAAAAAACAGAUAGCUCGGAAUGUGUGUUAUGCUAUAUGUAUAUAACCUAGUUUCCGCUAUAAAGGGCCCGUGCUUUGCAAUGUGAAAACCCGCGAAAGUUGACCUCGGUACCAAUUGGCAGGAUCUCACAGACCUGCGAGGGCCCCACUUGCCACCCUUCCUUCCCACCGACACGGAGCCUCCAAGUAUACUCUUCAUCCACAUGUUGUGUGGCUCAGACAUGGAAGAAAAUACACUGUAAUCGUGCAUGCUUGUUGUCCUGAAUGAAGAUACAUAAAUUUACAGAAUAUUUUUAAUACAGGUUGAAUUUUUUUGAAGUACACAUUGUCAAUUUUUUUAAUGCAUGACGAACAUAUUUCGAAAACACGUUUGCAGUUUUUUAAUACAUGUGAAACAUUUUUGGAAAACAUGUUUACAAUUUUAUAAUAUACAGGAGGUGCUCUCCGGUCUAGCUGAAGCUGAAGAGGUGCAAUUCGGUCUAACUUAGGACGAAGACAGGUCUUCGGUGUACUGUAGACUGAAGAGCUCCGAAGUCGGGCCGAAAAGAACUCUUCGGUCUACGCUUGGCCGAAGAGUGCACUUCGGUUUAAGCCAAGCCGAAGUGUCCUCUGACGCCCACCUCUUCGCGUGAACUGAAGACCGAAGUUGCAUGGAACCACACUUCGGUUUACACUUGGCUGAAGAGGACCUCUUGGGUUUAUACUAGGCUGAAGAGUGACCUUUUCCCGCCAGGCCUUUUCCGCCAUCUGUAAUGUAUCUUUCCCUCCAUUUGUUCACGCCAUUUUCUUUCCCUCCACUGUUUCCUUCCAUCCUCUUUCCCGCCCAAUUUUCCUGCCAACCCCUUACCCUCAUUCUUUAAAACCAGACCCCUUGCAUGUUGUUUUCUGCAUCUUUCCUUAGCAAUAUUUUCAGUCAUGUCCGACGAAAAUUCCGGUGGUUUUACUCCACUAAUGUCUCAUUUGCCCUUGUGCAAUGCAUCAAGAAUUCAUAGGCAUAGUAUGGGGUGUGUGUGAAUCAAAUAUACCCUAGAGGCAAUAAUAAAGUUAUUAUUUAUUUCCUUAUUUCAUGAUAAAUGUUUAUUAUUCAUGCUAGAAUUGUAUUAACCGGAAACAUAAUACAUGUGUGAAUACAUAGACAAACAAAGUGUCACUAGUAUGCCUCUACUUGACUAGCUCGUUGGUCAAAGAUGGUUAUGUUUCCUAACCAUCGACACGAGUUGUCAUUUGAUUAACGGGAUCACAUCAUUGGGAGAAUGAUGUGAUUGACUUGACCAAUUCCGUUAGCUUAGCACACGAUCGUUUAGUAUGUUGCUAUUGCUUUCUUCAUGACGUAUACAUGUUCCUAUGACUAUGAGAUUAUGCAACUCCCAUUUACCAGAGGAACACUUUGUGUGCUACCAAAUGUCACAACGUAACUGGGUGAUUAUAAAGAUGCUCUACAAGUGUCUCCGAAGGUACUUGUUGGGUUGGCGUAUUUCGAGAUUAGGAUUUGUCACUUCGAUUGUCGGAGAGGUAUCUUUGGGUCCUCUUGGUAAUGCACAUCACUUAAGCCUUGCAAGCAAUGCAACUAAUGAGUUAGUUGCGGGAUGACGUAUUACGAAACGAGUAAAGAGACUUGCCAGUAACGAGAUUGAACUAGGUAUUGAGAUACCGGCGAUCGAAUCUCGGGCAAGUAACAUACCGAUGACAAAGGGAACAACGUAUGUUGUUAUGCAGUCUGACCGAUAAAGAUCUUCGUAGAAUAUGUAGGAGCCAAUAUGAGCAUCCAGGUUCCGCUAUUGGUUAUUGACUGGAGACGUGUCUCGGUCAUGUCUACAUUGUUCUUGAACCCGUAGGGUCGGCACGCUUAAGGUUUCGAUGACAAUUAUAUUAUGAGUUUAUAAGUUUUGAUGUACCGAAGGAGUUCGGAGUCCCGGAUGAGAUCGAGGACAUAACGAGGAGUCUCGAAAUGGUCGAGACAUAAAGACCGAUAUAUUGGACGACCAUAUUCGGACAUCGGAAAGGUUCCGAGUGAUUCGGGUUUUUUUCGGACUACCGGAGAGUUACGGGAAUUCGCCGGGGAGUAUAUGGGCCUUAUUGGGCCACACGGGAAUAGAGGAGAGAGGCCAAAAGGAAGGAGGCCCCCCCUCUGGUCCUAAUUGGACAAGGGGUGCAACAACAACAUACAACUAUCUAGAUAAAGCAUUUAAAUGCAACAACAAAUGCGACCAAAAUUGCAACUAAGGUAAUUAUUGAUCCAAUAGCAUAAUGAUACCAAGCCUAUUUAUUAGCGGCAUAUUUUCUAAACUUUCUAAUCUUCAAGCGCAUUGCAUCCAUCUUGAUCUUUGGAUCAUCGACGACAACAGCAACAUACAAAUCCAAUUUCAUCUUCUCUUCUCAAUUCUUUUUAAUUUUUCUUUCAAAUACUCAUUUUCUUUUUCAACUAAAUUUAACUUCUCGACAAGAGGGUCGGUGGCAAUUUCUGGUUCACAUACCUCCUAGAUAAAAGUAUAUAUGUGAGCUUGAUGGGCAUAAUUGUCAUAAACACGAAAUGCAACAAAUAGUUAUAAAGAUAUUAUACCACAUCCGAAUCAUAAAUCGGACAAGGGCCAUCGGCGAAGGAUAUCAAAACCAUGGCACUACGUAUAACAAACAAUCAUACAAGUAAGAAAAUUAUACAAGCAACUAUCUAAAUGAUAGAAAUAAGAUUUCUUUGCACAAAAAGGAUAAGAACAAAAGCCUCACCAAGGAGGUGUCGGCGACGGGACGGCGUGGGCGAUCGAUGGCGGUGAGGACGGGAAGGCAGUAGUUAAACCACACCUACACAUAUGGAAACUAAGAAGUUAAUUUGAGCUCAAAUUACAUAUAAAUCAAAUAAACUCCCACAUAAUUACUCCCAAACAAAAACCCACAAAUGACUAUACUUAUACAGCAUGAAACAAGCUGAACUAGCAAUGAGAGAGGAAAGGACAAAGUUACUAACCUUUUAAACACUUGUAUAGAUGGGGUGCCUCAAAUCUUAACAAAUCUUGGCAGUUAGAUGACACCACUACACUACACACGGUAGGAGUUAUCUUGAACGAAACACAAGGGAAAAAAGUCGGACCCGACAAAGGUCGUCCAGGUAGGUAGCCAUCUUUGAAUUGAAUGAGUGUUCUCCAAAGUAGCUAGCUCGGUGAGAUGAUCAACAUCUUCAUCACGAACCCUAUAUAAACGCCAAGCUCCAUGAGCUCAGUCCCAGCACACACACACCCACAGUUCCACCUAAUAUAAUGGCCGGAAGCGCGAGCGCCACUCCAGUCCUCCUCGUCGUCGUGGUCGUGGCCCUCGCCGCGGGGGCCAGCACGACAUCGACGCUGACGCUGCUCAGCAUCACCAACCGGUGCUCCUUCACGGUGUGGCCGGCGGUGGCCUCCACAGGCCUCGGCACCGAGCUCCAUCCGGGAGCCAACUGGACCGUGGACGCGUCGGCGAUCCACUACACCGCGGACAUAUGGGGGCGCACGGGCUGCUCCUUCGACGUGGCAGGCAGGGGGCGGUGCCAGACGGCGGACUGCAGCAGCGGGCUGCGGUGCCGGAGCACCGACCCUGCGGCGCCGGCGACCAAGGCCCAGGUCGCCAUCUCCGAGGGCUUCUACCACUACGGCAUCAGGUUGGACAAGGGGUUCAACCUGCCCAUGGAUCUCACGUGCAGCUCCGGCGACGCGCUCCGGUGCCGGGAGGACGGGUGCCACGACGCGUUCCCAUACGUGAAGUACAACGACCACUCAUGCACCACCGCCGGCAGCCGGCUCCAGAUCGUCUUCUGCCCAUGAUGAGCUAGCUAGCUAGCGGCAGAACGUAAACAUAUAACCUACAAUAUACUACAUGUAGUAGUACAUACUCAGACGUGUCAUGUAUUCUCAGCGGUACGUACGUACACGUAUGAACACACGUGCGAGUUUCCAAUAAAAUUGCCAUGUGUGAUGUGCCUUUGAUAUAUUGUUCUUUUUUAUCGAAUGCUUUUGAUAUAUUGUUCUUUUUUAUUGAAUGCCUUUGAUAUAUUGUUUACGGGAAUUUACACACAAAAGAACGUGAAUUUGAACAAGAUAGCCUACAAAUAUGUAUGUUUUUCCACACACACAAAAUAUAUGUAUGUUCUAACAUUGGGACUUAGCUUGAAUAUUUUUUUUCGAGGGGUGGGACUCAGGUUGAUGGUCAGGGUCUCAAAUGGCAUGGCCACGAUUUUUAGAGAGGUUGAGCCAGGAUAUGUUAUUGGGGCAUGAUACCAGCUUUUUUUCCAACCGGGCUCACAACCCCUUUCCAUUAAUUUUGCAAUCAACGGAAAUACAUCAGUCUGGUUUCAAGUUCUGUAUCGAGCAUCCACUUGCUAAAGAUAACUAGACUGAAAGAUAGAACUAACCGCAAGCAAAAUGAGACUGAAAGAGGAGAGCAGGUUGGUGCAUCAUCAGGAAACCCAUCGUCGGACAAUCCUGGAACGGACCAUCCGCCGUGGCGCGAAAACCUGAUGACACUUACAAGCAACUGCCCAACCAAAAUACCCAAGGUUCCGAGGAUGAAACUGCCAGUAAGCCUCUACGACUAGGCGAAGCACAACCAGGAAGCACAAUUGCCAGCGGGCAUCAAACCCCAGUGGACAACAGAACGCAAAAGGAAAGAUCCAAGCGCCAAUUUCAUCUAACCAAUCUGGAUCCCAUCUCUGUCUCCCAAGAGAAGUCGCCACGAGGGAAGGACCUGUCCGCCAGCGCAGCAGCCGCGUGAGCUAACCUCUUCACUCCAGCUUGGAACUUCACCUUCUCAUCCUCCUUAAGCAGACCUCACUAGUAGAAAAAGGGUCAAACGUGAAGCACAUUAGUGCCGGUUUGUAUUUGAGCCGGUACUAAUGGUACCAUUAGUGCCGGUUCGAACGGAUUUGCAUUAAUGCCGGUUCGUGUUGAACCUUUAAUACCGGUUCGUGGCACGAACCGGUACUAAAGGGGUGGUGGCAGGCUGGCGUCAGGCCGGGGCCCCACGAUCACCUUUAGUACCGGUUCGUGGCACGAACCGGUACUAAAGGGGUCUGACCUAUAGUACCGGUUGGAGACACAAACCGGCACUAUAGGGCAAUUUUCAAACUUGAAAAAAUCAUAACUAAAUCAUCGUAAUUCAGUAAAAUACAUAUAAUAUAUCAAAAUAUGCAGACUUUUAAGGAAGAAAUUAGGAAGGCUAUACAGGGAAAAUGCGUGAAGGUUCUCGCAGAGUGUGUUCCUUUAAUCUCACCAACCAGUUAGCUUAGGAUGUGCGAAUCAAUCUGUGGUUGGACGGUUAGAGGGACAGUAGUAUCCACAGCCCAUCAGGGUUUAAGUCCUGGUUCUCACAUUAUUCCUGGAUUUAUUUUAGGAUUUCUGGCGUUGUGCUUUCAGCGGGAGGAGACGUUCCUGUCGACAACGAGGCGCCUACGGUGACUUUGUAAAUGUCAAGAUGAUAUACUGGCUAGGUCUCUCGUAGGUGCUCAUAGGGGUAGGAAUGUGCAUGUGUGCAUUCAUAGGGGUGAGCGUAUGUGCGUAUGUUUGAGCACUUGCGUCUAUACUAUGCUAAAAAAUAGAUAGCUCGGAAUGUGUGUUAUGCUAUAUGUAUAUAACCUAGUUUCCGCUGUAAAGGGCCCGUGCGUUGCAAUGUGAAAACCCGCGAAAGUUGACCUCGGUACCAAUUGGCAGGAUCUCACAGACCUGCGAGGGCCCCACUUGCCACCCUUCCUUCCCACCGACACGGAUCCUGCAAGUAUACUCUUCAUCCACGUGUUGUGUGGCUCAAACAUGGACGAAAAUACACAGUAAUCGUGCAUGCUUGUCGUCCUGAAUGAAGAUACAUAAAUUUACAGAAUAUUUUUAAUACAGGUUGAAUUUUUUUGAAGUACACGUUGUCAAUUUUUUGAAUGCAUGACGAACAUAUUUCGAAAACACGUUUGCAGUUUUUUAAUACAUGUGAAACAUUUUUGGAAAACAUGUUUACAAUUUUAUAAUAUACAGGAGGUGCUCUUCGGUCUAGCUGAAGCCGAAGAGGUGCUCUUCGGUCUAACUUAGGCCGAAGACAGGUCUUCGGUGUACUGUAGACUGAAGAGCUCCGAAGCCGGGCUGAAAAGAACUCUUCGGUCUACGCUUGGCCGAUGAGUGCACUUCGGUUUAAGCCAAGCCGAAGUGUCCUCUGAGGCCCACCUCUUCCCGUGAACUGCAGACCGAAGUUGCAUGGCACCACACUUCGGUUUACACUUGGCUGAAGAGGACCUCUUCGGUUUAUACUAGGCUGAAGAGUGACCUUUUCCCGCCAAGCCUUUUCCGCCAUCUGUAAUGUAUCUUUCCCUCCAUUCGUUCACGCCAUUUUCUUUCCCUCCACUGUUUCCUUCCAUCCUCUUUCCCGCCCAAUUUUCCUGCCAACCCCUUACCCUCAUUCUAUAAAACCAGACCCCUUGCCUGUUGUUUUCUGCAUCUUUCCUUACCAAUAUUUUCAGUCAUGUCCGACGACAAUUCCGGCGGUUUUACUCCACUAAUGUCUCAUUUUCCCUUGUGCAAUGCCUCAAGAAUGCAUAGGCCUAGUAUGGGGUGUGUGUGGAGGAAAUAUACCCUAGAGGCAAUAAUAAAGUUAUUAUUUAUUUCCUUAUUUCAUGAUAAAUGUUUAUUAUUCAUGCUAGAAUUGUAUUAACCGGAAACAUAAUACAUGUGUGAAUACAUAGACAAACAAAGUGUCACUAGUAUGCCUCUACUUGACUAGCUCGUUGGUCAAAGAUGGUUAUGUUUCCUAACCAUAGACACGAGUUGUCAUUUGAUUAACGGGAUCACAUCAUUAGGAGAAUGAUGUGAUUGACUUGACCCAUUCCGUUAGCUUAGCACACGAUCGUUUAGUAUGUUGCUAUUGCUUUCUUCAUGACUUAUACAUGUUCCUAUGACUAUGAGAUUAUGCAACUCACAUUUACCAGAGGAACACUUUGUGUGCUACCAAACGUCACAACGUAACUGGGUGAUUAUAAAGGUGCUCUGCAAGUGUCUCUGAAGUUACUUGUUGGGUUGGCGUAUUUCGAGAUUAGGAUUUGUCACUUCGAUUGUCGGAGAGGUAUCUCUGGGUCCUCUUGGUAAUGCACAUCACUUAAGCCUUGCAAGCAAUGCAACUAAUGAGUUAGUUGCGGGAUGAUGUAUUACGGAACGAGUAAAGAGACUUGCCAGUAACGAGAUUGAACUAGGUAUUGAGAUACCGACGAUCGAAUCUCGGGCAAGUAACAUAUCGAUGACAAAGGGAACAACGUAUGUUAUGCAGUCUGAUCGAUAAAGAUCUUCGUAGAAUAUGUAGGAGCCAAUAUGAGCAUCCAGGUUCCGCUAUUGGUUAUUGACUGGAGACAUGUCUCGGUCAUGUCUACAUUGUUCUCGAACCCGUAGGGUCCGCACGCUUAAGUUUUCGAUGACAGUUAUAUUAUGAGUUUAUAAGUUUUGAUGUACCGAAGGAGUUCGGAGUCCCGGAUGAGAUCGAGGACAUGACGAGGAGUCUCGAAAUGGUCGAGACAUAAAGAUCGAUAUAUUGGACGACCAUAUUCGGACAUCGGAAAGGUUCCGAGUGAUUCGGGUAUUUUUCGGCCUACCGAAGAGUUACGGGAAUUCGUCGGGGAGUAUAUGGGCCUUAUUGGGCCAUACGGGAAUAGAGGAGAGAGGCCAAAAGGAAGGAGGCCCCCCCUCUGGUCCGAAUUGGACAAGGGGUGCAACAACAACAUACAACUAUCUAGAUAAUGCAUUUAAAUGCAACAAUAAAUGUGAUCAAAAUUGCAACUAAGGUAAUAAUUGAUCCAAUAGCAUAAUGAUACCAAGCCUAUUUAUUAGCGGCAUAUUUUCUAAACUUUCUAAUCUUCAAGCGCAUUGCAUCCAUCUUGAUCUUUGGAUCAUCGACGACAACAGCAACAUACAAAUCCAAUUUCAUCUUCUCUUCUCAAUUCUUUUUAAUUUUUCUUUCAAAUACUCAUUUUCUUUUUCUACUAAAUUUAACUUCUCGACAAGAGGGUCGGUGGCAAUUUCUGGUUCACAUACCUCCUAGAUAAAAAUAUAUAUGUCAGCUUGAUGGGCAUAAUUGUCAUAAACACGAAAUGCAACAAAUAGUUAUAAAAGAUAUUAUACCACAUCCGAAUCAUAAAUCGGACAAGGGCCGUCGGCGAAGGAUAUCAAAACCAUGGCACUACGUAUAACAAACAAUCAUACAAGUAAGAAAAUUAUACAAGCAACUAUCUAAAUCAUAGAAAUAAGAUUUCUUUGCACAAAAAGGAUAAGAACAAGAGCCUCACCAAGGAGGUGUCGGCGACGGGACGGCGCGGGCGACCGAUGGCGGUGAGGACGGGAAGGCAGUAGUUAAACCACACCUACACAUAUGGAAACUAAGAAGUUAAUUUGAGCUCAAAUUACAUAUAAAUCAAAUAAACUCCCACAUAAUUACUCCCAAACCAAAACCCACAAAUGACUAUACUUAUACAGCAUGAAACAAGCUAAACUAGCAAUGAGAGAGGAAAGGACAAAGUUACUAACCUUUUAAACACUUAGAUAGAUGGGGUGCCUCAAAUCUUAACAAAUCUUGGCAGUUAGAUGACACCACUACACUACACACGGUAGGAGUGAUCUUGAACGAAACACAAGGGAAAAAAGUCGGACCCGACAAAGGUCGUCCAGGUAGGUAGCCAUCUUUGAAUUGAAUGAGUGUUCUCCAAAGUAGCUAUCUCGGUGAGAUGAUCGACAUCUUCAUCACGAACCCUAUAUAAACGCCAAGCUCCAUGAGCUCAGUCCCAGCACACACACACCCAUAGUUCCACCUAAUAUAAUGGCCGGAAGCGCGAGCGCCACUCUGGUCCUCCUCGUCGUCGUGGUCGCGGCCCUCGCCGUGGGGGCCAGCGCGACAUCGACGCUGACGCCGCUCAGCAUCACCAACCGGUGCUCCUUCACGGUAUGGCCGGCGGUGGCCUCCGCAGGCCUCGGCACGGAGCUCCAUCCGGGAGCCAACUGGACCGUGGACGCGUCGGCGAUCCACUACACCGCGGACAUAUGGGGGCGCACGGGCUGCUCCUUCGACGCGGCAGGCAGGGGACGGUGCCAGACGGUGGACUGCGGCAGCGGGCUACGGUGCCGGAGCAACGACCCUGCGGCGCCGACGACCAAGGCCCAGGUCGCCAUCUCCGAGGGCUUCUACCACUACGGCAUCAUGUUGGACAAGGGGUUCAACCUGCCCAUGGAUCUCACGUGCAGCUCCGGCGACGCGCUCCGGUGCCGGGAGGACGGGUGCCACGACGCGUUCCCGUACGUGAAGUACAACGACCACUCAUGCACCGCCGCCGGCAGCCGGCUCCAAAUCAUCUUCUGCCCAUGAUGAGCUAGCUAGCGGCAGAAUGUAAACAUAUAACCUACACAUAUACUACGUGUAGUAGUACAUACUCAGACGUGUCAUGUAUUCUCAGCGGUACGUACGUACACGUAUGAACGCACGUGCGAGUUUCCAAUAAAAUUGCCAUGUGUGAUGUGCCUUUGAUAUAUUGUUCUUUUUUAUCGAAUGCCUUUGAUAUAUUGUUCUUUUUUAUUGAAUGCCUUUGAUAUAUUGUUUACGGGAAUUUACACACAAAAGAACGUGAAUUUGAACAAGAUAGCCUACAAAUAUGUAUGUUUUUCCACACACAAAAAAUAUAUGUAUG